UCCCAGGGAUUUUGUCAGGAUCUUUCCCGCAUUCAUUUGCGCCCAUUGGGAUCAUUGGGAUUGGUCUGUUACAUCGCUGGGAGAUUGAUAUCCACCUCCCAACUUCCUUGGUCCCGUCUUGGGAUCGGGGAUUUGAAGGACUCCGUCUUGGAGGACUUCACGGGAUACCGGACGUGUUUCGUUUGAGUUGAAUUCCACCCUGCCUUGAGCAGACCCUACCGUGGUGGUCUUCUUAGUUAUGAUUCACACAUUU
Molecule: small nucleolar RNA, 253 nt
Filed under: Sordaria macrospora k-hell
Lineage: Eukaryota; Fungi; Ascomycota; Sordariomycetes; Sordariales; Sordariaceae
Description: Small nucleolar RNA snR191
Rfam family: Small nucleolar RNA snR191
Source: Rfam by way of RNAcentral